GCUAAAAUCUAAAACCAACUGAAACCUAAAACCAUAAACUCCUCGAAGCUUUUAUUCAGCUUCUCAUCUCCCAUUCCCUAACUUUUCAUCAAAACUUUCAACACAAAGCCUUUGCAUAGAUUCUACAUUAUACCAGUGUAUACGAGAUCAAUUUCAGCUCAAUUUUGUUGGAAUACAAGUUGCCACUGUUGUUGAGUAAAAAGCUCCUUCUUGAUCAUCCGAAAGCUCCAAGAAAUCUACGAAAGGGAAGAGACCUGGAAAGAGAGGGAACCGUUUCUGGAAGAGCAUUGGUUUGGGCUUCAAAGCUCCUCGUGAAGCUAUUGAAGGUUCGUUUUCCUUCAAACUUAUGUAUGUAUGUAUUCAGGCCUUGUGGAAUUAAAGUUUAUGAUUAUAUAAACCACUUCUGGAAGUGAAAUAGAUAAAUAUGUAUUUAGAGUUUAUCUUUUUACAUAAACUAAUGGAGAAGAUUGAACCGGUGGGUCCAUAAUUAUGGCCUGAACAGUGGAGCCAGAUCCAGUGCUUGUUCAGUUUCUGGCUUGACCACCGGCAAUACCGCCCAAUAUAGCUGAGCAAAGUUUCGAAUUUGAAUAAUAAGAUUCACUACAGUAACGUAACUCUAGUACUUUCCAUGUCUUUUUAUUUCAUUGUAUUGUAGUAAUAUAGUCCUCUGGUUUUCUCAUGUUUUCCGUUUGUAGUAUUGGUUUAUGUCAUUUUAUUUGUUUUUGUGGGGUUGUAUGGUUCAAGAAAAGUUAUAGUCCUUGCUUUAGUUGAUUAAGGAGCUUCAAAGCUUUGUUAUUUUGCUCUACUUAAAAGACAGAUAUUUGCUUUGUUUUUA
Molecule: long non-coding RNA, 835 nt
Organism: Gossypium raimondii (Peruvian cotton)
Lineage: Eukaryota; Viridiplantae; Streptophyta; Magnoliopsida; Malvales; Malvaceae
Exons: 2
Source: RefSeq, a predicted model, not a curated record